Non-coding RNA from Arvicanthis niloticus (Nile rat), 1409 nucleotides. The record is from RefSeq and is a predicted model, not a curated record. Lineage: Eukaryota; Metazoa; Chordata; Mammalia; Rodentia; Muridae.
CACAGGAAUGCCCUCCCUCUACCCCCCUCCCAGCCAACUUGGACAGCAGAUCCACAAUGAAGGCGGCAGCUCCAUGUAAUCUCCUAAUCAAUGCAGUACCCAAGGAAAGCACCGCCAGCCACUUCCGCCCAUUUAAAGACACAGCACAUGUUUUGUCCCAGAACGGGACAGAUCACCAAGGAUGACAGGAAUCAGUGUGCUGCAUGGAGGAGUGCGGUACCAGGAAGGAAGAGGCAAGAGGCAAACAACUCAGAAGAAGGAUAGAGUCACAGGUCCCCAACAAUAUUAACCAGCAUUUGACCAGCACAGAAGAAACACUCUCUAGGACCCUGAUCUAGGAUCUCUUUCAGGGAUAUAUCUGAUAGCCAAAAAGCCAUGACUGGUGGAAUUCCUCUCCAUGCACAGCCUCAUGCCAGAAAAAGGACAAAAUCACUUCCGGCUCCGCUCCCCCUUCACAAUCUGUUAAUCCAGAAUGCUCCUUCAGGCAACAACAGCAGGAUCCCCGAGCCAAAAACCAGACUCCAAUCAACUCUAGCUUCCAUCCUGCCCCCAGGAAAGAGAAAGCAGGACUGGGCUGCCAAGGACAGCAACAUGCCACUCCAGAAUGAUAAGUGGGGGCACAUACAUAGUGUCUUGUGAACCUCACCAUGACCCAGGAAAGAUUUUUAAAUAUUAAACAGUUACACAGGAAAGGGUUAAUAUUCAUUAAAGAAAGAAACCCGGAUUUGGUGAUGUCCAGUUCUGUGCACAACAUUACCAACUACCACUCCCUCCUGGGUGAGUGGCACAGCAGGCCCUCUGUGUACAGGACUCCACCAACCUUGGAUACAACAUUCUCAGAAAAAGCUGCAUGGUUACAGAACAUGCUCAGACUUCACUUUGUCAAACAAUGCAACAUAACAACCAUUUAUGCAGUGUUUACAUUGCAUUAGGCCCUAUAAGUAGCCUAGAUAUGAAUACAUGUUAUAUAUACAAGCAUGUCAUACUUUACACAAGAGACUUGGACACUGGUAGAUUGGAGAAGCAGAGUAGGUAACAUGGGACUAGGCUCUUGAGCAAGUUCAAGAAUAACUGUUGUGGAAGUUUAAAUGAGAAGGGCCCCUCUAGGCUCAUACAUUUGAAUAUUUGGCCCCCAGUUGGUCGGACUGUUUGGGAAGGAUUAGGGGGUGUGGCCUUGUUAGAAGAGGCGUGUCAUCAGGGUGGACUUUGAGCUCUUAAAAUCCUACACUAUUCCCAGUUAGCUCUCUUUCUCUGCCGUUCCUUUCUGCCUCGUUAUUUUCAGAUCAGGUAUAAAAGAUCUCAGUUGCUGCUCCAGUAUCCUACCUGCCUGUGGUCAUGCUUCCCCCUCCAUGAUGACCAUAGACUUUAACCCUUCAAGAAUGUAAGCAAGCUCCCAAUAAACUCUUUAU